GGGGUUGAAUUAGAGCUGUAGCUGCCAGCCUACACCACAGCCACAGCAACACAGGAUCAGAGCUGCAUCUGCGACAUGCACCACAGCUCACAGCAACAGCAGAUCCUUAACCCACUGAGUGAGACCAGGGCUCAAAGCUGCAUCUUCAUGGAUUCUAUCCAGAUUUGUUACCUCUGAGUCACAAUGGGAACUCUGCAGUCCAGUUAAUUCUAUAAGAAUUCAUAACUAAUUUAAAACUAAAUCAGGAAUUAUGAAUAAUUUUUUAGAUCAAAAAAGAGAGGACUUAGGUUUGUUCAGAGCUCUUUCUAAAAAAAAGCCUAUCACAUUAAGUUCCAGCUACACUUUCACUCUUUUACUAAACAUGCUAUAGCUUACAGCAGCAAUCCAUCAAGUAUGGAUGACCAGUGUGGUUUAUUUGGGAAUACCAGUUUCAUCUUUUUUGCAGAAUGUGUUCCUUUCCAAGUAAAUAAUUUUAUUUUACAGGCUUUCACAGUCAACAGACAAAAUAAUUUUUGAGAUGAAAUGUUUUUAAAACUAAUAGUCUUUAAACAGAAGCAAUCAUAGUUGACCAAAAUGUUCUUGUUAGCAAAAUAUGUCACCAAAAAGUACUUCCCUGUUUUGAAUGGCUUCUCUGCUUUAGAAUUAAAAUCAUCGGUGCCUAAAGCAACAGCAACCACAGUCUGAAACUGAGAUUUUCCAGAUAUAUUAGGUUGUUGAAAAUAUUUAAGCGUCAAAUAAUCUGUUAAGCCAAAUAAAGGGUAGAUAAGCAAGUGAGAACUCUGUUGCUGCCAGUAAUGGGCAAAGCUGCAGCAAAAAGUUGAUAGCAAGUGUUACUGAGUAAGCCAAGGGACAGGGCCUCCACCCUCCCCUGGACAUCAGUUUCUAUUUCCUAUCGCUGUGCCUGCCUGUCUGACUUUGUCUCUUUUUCUCUCUGGAUUCGAUAGCGUCUGUAUCUCCGUGAGCCCUGUAAUCCAUCUUCCAAGGACUGUUUCAGCAGUCCUCAGUGGAAAACACAUUCCUGACUUUGGGCCUAGAGUAAAUCAUAGCCACAAACGUACACAUGUCUAAAGGGGAUUUUGACACUGUGUAGCCACAAAACUGAGGCACGUGCAAUGCCACUGGACCAUAGAGUAUCACCACACCCAGGCACAACUCUGAGGUGGAUAAGGGGAUUCUUCAGAGACACCUCCCUUUUUGGAAGAGCUGCAUCUUUCAAGCCCUGAUAAAUAUCUCUGCUACUACAUCCUUUCCAUUGCAUGAUAUUCAUGCGUUAAUGAUGACUAAGUAGCAAAUAAUGCAGUAAAAAUGCAGUAUUCUGUAAGAAAUUUUUGAAAUGAAACUUUAAAGACACCAAGAGAGAGUUUUUUGAAUGCAAGGAAUUAUAUAUGAAAAGGAAUUUCUGGAGUUCGCAUUAUGGCUCAGAGAAUUAGGAACCCCACUCUGUCUCUCUGAGGAUGCAGGUUCAAUCCCUGGCCUUGCUCAGUGGGUUAAGUAGCCGGUAUUGCUGCAAGCUGUGGUGUAGGUCACAGAUGUGGCUUGAACCUGGUGUGGUGGUGGUAUAGGCCUCAGCUGCAGCUCCAGUUAGAUCCCUAGCCUGGAACUUCCAUAUGCCACAGUCUUUUUUUUUUUUUUUUUAAAUCAGUACCUGCUCACAUAAGUGUCUCUGUAAUUUAUUCUCUGAAGCUACUUAUUGAGCAAUAGAGCUUGAUCAUGACUUCAAUUUGAUUGUAAGUACAUAAUUAGGUAUCUUUUCUAAAGGAAGAUCAAACAUGAAUUUGACUUCAAUUGUUGGUUGGUUUGAAAUCAACGUAUACUAACUCCUACUAUAUCCUUUUGUGACUGAAAAAUAUGUUCCAGAAAAGAGAGAUUUUGUAUUUUUCUGUUGUUGCCUUUUGUUAAUUUGGCAGCAAAAGAAGACAGCAUACAGACCAUAGCUUUUAAACAAAUUAAUGGAAACAUUUAAAAAUAAGUUGAGUGCCUCAUCUACAGGAUUUUUUUCUCUUUGAAUAUAUGCAUGAAAGAGACUUCUAAAACUUUGAUAUUACAACACUCAUAUAGCUAAAUGUGGAGAUCAUUGUAAGGGAUAAAUUUCAACUUAUUAAAAGGCAAGAUCUCUAAAAAUUAGGGCAUUUUAUAUGCAUAUGUUUUAAAGCAUUGUUUUUGUAGGUCUCAAGUUAAAUUGGAAUCAUUUUUUAUUUUUUCAUUUGGGCUCAUCUAAUCCGACUUGCAUGAAAAUGCCACAAAAUUGUGAACUUCUUUUGUUAAUUGUAGAAAAUUGGUGUUAUAAAGAGAAGCAACAAAUAAACCUGAAAACAUACCAUAAUUUUAAUACCAUGUACUAUUAACACUUAAAGAAAAUUAUCUCUGGAGGACAUAUAUGUAAACUUAUAUAUCAUAAAGUGGGAUAAUACUUAAACACGCCAUUUUAGCCUCUUUUCUACUCAACAUUAUACCAUGAGUAGUAUGACUUGUGAGUUGAAAUAACAGACCAUAUAAAAGAUUAAAGUUCAGCUCCAAAAGAUUCUGCUGUAUGAUUCUAUGUUAAGACUCUGUGUUGUGUCUUUAUCCCACAUUUUUCUGUUGUUUUUCUUUCCUCAAUUAACAUGAAAUGGGAUUGUUUGUUUCUUGCUGUUAUACACUUCCUCUAACACUGGAUGAGCCACUAACACACCCUAGAAGAAAAGACACCACAACUUCACUUCCAUUAAUCACAAACCCUAUAGACAGGUUAGGGUAGGGGAUGGACUGGGGAUUUGAGAUUGGCAUAUGCACACUAAGGUAUAUGGAAUGAUGGGCCAAUGGGGAUCUGCUGUGUAGCACAGGGAGCUCUUAGCCAAUAUUCUGUGGUAAUCUAUGUGGGAAAAGAAUCUAAAAGACAAUGGAUGUGUUUAUAUGUAUAAGUGAAUAAGUGAGUCACUUUUUCGUAUAGCAGAAAUUAUCGCAACACUGUAGAUCAACUAUAUAUAUUUCCACAAAAUUUUUAAAAAUGAGAGAAGUAAAUAAAUAAAAACAAUCUUCCCUUUAAAAAAAAAAUCGCAAGCCCUACUUUGAUGGCUUGAUGCAUGAAAAAUAGACUUCAUUGGGAGGGGUUAUUGGUAUGUGGUGAAGAGAUUUGACAAGUGUGCAGGAUUGUGCAUGAACAGAGUCCAGCUGUGUUCCAAACAGAUGUGCAGGAGUUAGGAAGUAGGAGUAAGUGCAGUGGGGGUGAUUCCUGGGGCAGAAUCUCCACUCUGCUAUUGACAACCUCGUUGACCUUGGACAAGUGACUUGGCCUCUUUGCAUUUGGUUUCCUCAUCUGUAAAAUGGGGAUGGUGACAGCAGUUCACUCAUAGAUCUUUGUGGGAAGCAAGGGAAUUUGCACACACAGCAGCCUGAAUGAAGCACUUAAGACUGUGUCUGGAACAGGAUCAAUAGAAUCUGAGAGCUGUGUUAGUGUGUUUGAAUUCUUGGUCAGUCAAUGGUAGCAUUGUUCUUGAUCACUGUCUGUGCUUAUAACAAAGCAAAUGUGUGGUGGAUUUUAAAGAAGGAAAACUGAUUAGGCAGUGUGAAUGCAUUAAUUUGCUUAUAGUCAUCCUUUGAAAAAAAUUUAAACAGCUCUGUUAUGCCAAUCUGGGGUCUUUUAUUCUGUUCUUCCCUUCUUUCUGCCAGAAUGUAGCCAACCUAUAGCUAUGAGGAGAAGAAAAUAUUGGGGAGACUUUGGUGCUGACAUUACUGAACUGUGAACCAGCAUUAGCUGCUGCCCAAUUUUUGGACUACUCGUUUCAUAAACAAUAAAUCUCAGACCCCUAGCCUGGGAACCUCCAUGUGCCACAGGUACGGCUGUAAAAAAACAAAAAACAAAACAAAACAAAAAACCCAGUAAAUCUCUGUACAUGCCGGAUAUUUUAUUUGGGUUUACUGAUGAAGCCAUAUUCUGAAUUUAUAAUCUUGCUGACUCAGAUUCCUCAUUAGUAAAAUAUAGGUGAUUUUAAUAACACCUAACUACUACUGUGGCUGUGGGGAGUGAAUUAUGUUUAUGAAAAUCACCUUGCAAAUUGUAAAACACUGUACAAAUGUUAGUUGUUAUUGCUCAUAAAAUCAUGUGUGCCCUUUCUCCACAUCCAAUUAUGAAGCUUGAUGAAAAUGGGUGAAGUGGUGAAUAAGUUUGCUGAAAGAGAAAGGAAUAGUUCUUAAUGAAUUAUUAACAGCAAUUAUCUCCGAUGGCCACGCUUUAUAAGGGGACAGCUGGCUGCUGUGAUGCUGUUCUUGGGUUCAGCUCAAGAGGAGUUUCUGUGCAUAUUCUCACUUCUCCCACAUUCAUAUUAUUCUGUCAGGGAAUUGCUACCAGAAUUUCCAUGGGAGAAUACUGUGUUGGUUAUAUGACUAAAUGGGGUGUUUUAAAAAGAAGUAUGCACAAUGUAAAGUCCUCUUAAAAAAAAAUAAAUAAAUAGAGGAAAAAGGUAUUACAGCACAGCUUCAUAAGUCUAGACUUCAAGCCCAACAGGAACACAGACUCUUGCAUUACAGGUUACAGAAAGUACCAAAGCCAGACAAGACACUACCAAAAAAAGAAAAUUACAGGCCAACAGCUUUGAUGAAUAUGGAUGCAAAAAUUCUCAAUAAAAUAAUAGCACAAAUCUAACAAUGCAUAAAAAAGAUCAUAUACUAAGACCAAAUAGAAUAAGGAAAGCAAAAUAUAAUAAGAUGGUAAAGUAUAUAGUUUAUCUGCUAAUCAGAGGCUGUUGUGGAAUGAAAUGGAGUUCCACAGCGUGCUGGCUGUCAUAGUGAAAAUGUUUAGGGAUUCACUUCCUUCACAAAUAAUGUGGUAAAACUGAAGCUACCAGUUGUAACCUUUCCUUUGAUUUUCAUAUAAUUACAAGUGCACUGUGCGAGUGAAUCUCUUUACACCCACUUUACAACACCAAGUGCAUUCUCAGGUAGAUCAUGGUUGAUUGGAUUCUAUAUUGAGCAAGGCCUUGGGCUCUGGAAAGGACCUCCUUCCUGGACCCUGACCUGAGAUGCUGUUUCCAGUUCCCUUCUACGAGGUUGCAGUAGGCCUACACCAAAACUAUUCUUCUCAUCUGCUGCUCACCCACUUCAGGAAUCAUGGCACAGGAUGGGGACUGAGGUGAGGCAAGGAAGGUGGGGGCAGCAGCAGAUGAAAACAAACCUUGGUUAUCAAGAUAAAACUUUUAAUGCAAUUAUCUUAAGACAUCAAAAGAAAUUUAGAACACCUGUGAUGAACAAAGUGUCAAAAAUCUUUUCAUUCACUUGGAAUUUUUAAAAUUUGCAUUAAAAUAUGAUUUAUCCCCAUUGUUAAGGGAAGGGGGGUGUUUGGUUCGUAUGUAGGAAUUUUUGUGUCCAAGGCAAGUGCUUCAUUCUCCUGACCAUAGUUGCAACCUGCUAGGGAAGAAAA
Molecule: long non-coding RNA, 5395 nt
Filed under: Sus scrofa (pig)
Lineage: Eukaryota; Metazoa; Chordata; Mammalia; Artiodactyla; Suidae
Description: lncRNA (ENSSSCG00030056805.1)
Source: RNAcentral